GGAAGUCCAUUUUCCCCUAGCAUUUGGUUUGAACGACAACAUCUUCUUGAGCACAAGGUCACCUUCUCUAAACACACGAGGUCUGACCUUCUUAUCAAAAGCUUUCUUUAUCCUUUGCUGAUAUAACUGACCAUGACACAUGGCAGUCAAUCUCUUCUCUUCAAUCAAAAUCAGCUGAUCAAAUAUGGUCUAACACCAUUCAGCCUCAGUCAACUUGGCUCCAUGAGCACGCGCAAUGAA
RNAcentral lists this long non-coding RNA (240 nucleotides) under Lathyrus oleraceus (garden pea). Its description in RNAcentral is "Pisum sativum (pea) long non-coding RNA (PSAT_LNC025188)". Lineage: Eukaryota; Viridiplantae; Streptophyta; Magnoliopsida; Fabales; Fabaceae. The record is from RNAcentral.